GUGCUUGUUUCAGCAGCAUGCAUACUAAAAUUUUGAAAACUACAGUGACUAGCAUGUGCAAGGAUGACAUGCAAAUUGGUGAAGUGUUCCAUAUUUUA
This 98-nucleotide small nuclear RNA is filed under the name Cebus imitator (Panamanian white-faced capuchin). The record is from RNAcentral. Lineage: Eukaryota; Metazoa; Chordata; Mammalia; Primates; Cebidae.